Molecule: non-coding RNA, 9432 nt
Organism: Callithrix jacchus (white-tufted-ear marmoset)
Lineage: Eukaryota; Metazoa; Chordata; Mammalia; Primates; Cebidae
Source: RefSeq, a predicted model, not a curated record
UAUUCUUUCUUCUAAUGAAAAAAUAAAGGCCGAGCAUGGUGGCUCGUACCUGUAAUGCCAUCACUUUGGGAGGCUGAGGUGGGCGGAUCAUCUGAGGUCAGGAGUUCAAGACCAAUCUGGCCAACAUGGCAAAAUUCUGUGUCUACUAAAAAUUUAAAAAACUAGCCAGGUAUGGUGGCAGGAGCCUGUAAUCCCAGCUAUUUUUUGGUAGGCUGAGGCAGGAGAAUCGCUUGAACCUGGAAGGCAGAGGCUGCAGUGAGCACUGAUUGCACCAUUGCACUCCAGCCUGGGCAACAGAGCAAGUAAAAAAAAAAAAAAGGACUGUGUGUGAAUGAGAAAUGUCUGUCUACCAAAAUCUGUCCUCCCAAUUCCAUAGUGUGGAGUGGUAUCUGCCAGACAGUUGCCCUAUCAGAGACUACAUUUCCCAGCUCCCUGUGCCCAGUUGUGGCCACGUGACCAGUUCUCGCCAAGAGACUACGAAUGAGCAUGACCAGUCCCUUGAGGAGGAAAGAAGGGGUUGUAAUUGCUCCAGACCUUCUUUCCCCUUCUGCUAUCUGGUUCCAGAGGACUCUGGGGCUUUGAAGGCUUCUCAAAUUUAUAUGUAUGAGUGGUCCCUAACUUAACAAUGGUUAGACUUAUGAUUUUUUAAUAUUUUGAUGGUGUGAAAGUGAUACCAUAGAAACCAUUCUUCAAGUACCCAUAGAGCCAUUCUGUUUUUUACUUUUAGUAUAGUAUUCAGUAAAUUACAUGAGGUAGUCAACACUUUAUUACUUAUUUAUUUUGAGACAGGAUCUCACUCUGUUGCCCAGGCUGGAGUGCAGUGGUGCAAUCACAGCUCACUGCAACUUCCACCUUCCUGAUCUCAGAUGAUCCUCCCACCUCAACCUCCCGAGUAGCUGGGACUACAGGCUUGUGUCACCACGCCUCACUAAUUUUUGGGUUUUUUUGGGGGUAGAGAUUGGGUUUUGUCAUGUUGCCAGGCUGGCCUCAAACUUCUGGACUCAAGGGAUCUGUGUGCCUCCCAAAGUGUUGGGAUUACAGGUGUGAGCUGCUGCACCCAGCCCUCAACACUCUGUUCCACAAUAGGCUUUGUGUUAGAUGAUUUUGCCCAACUACAGACUAAUAUAAGUGUUCUGAUAAUUUUAAGGUAAGCGAGGCUAAGCUAUGAUGUUUGAUAGGUUAGGUAUGGUAAAUGCAUUUUCUACUUAUGAUAUUUUUUCAACUUAAGAUGUGUUUAGUGGGAUGUAACCCCAUCACAAAUUGAGGAGCAUCUGUAUAUGAGUCACUUGCCCAUGCACAUUUUCUUAAAAUGCGGCUCUGAAACUCUGGGUCCUAGGGUAGGGCCUGAGAUCCUGCAUUUCUAACAAGCUCGCAGGGAUGUCCAAACUGCUGGCACUCAGGCCAUUCUUUCAGAAGUGAGUCUCCUGGGGGACAAUGGAGCCAGAGAAUGAAAGGUACACAGGGCUCUGAAUCACUACACAAGAAAAGCCACCUCUUCAACCAGCAACUUCUGACCUGUCACUUGAGUGAGGAAUAAGCUUUUGUGGAGGGUUGGAGGGUGAGGGUUAUUUGUCACAGCAGCUAGUCUUCUAGAAGUAGUUCGAACGAUUCACUGCUCCUGUUUUCAAUAUCUCGGCAAGGUCAUUCAGGACAAAAUUAUCCCCACUGCUCUUACCCCCUUAGCAUGGCUGUGUGUUCCAGAUGACUGCUUUAUGUUUUAAGGCAUUUAUACUUAACUAUGCAUUUAAACCUUACAAAGCCCUCACCCUAUGUUGUUAGCUCCUUGAUGAUAGCUGUGGUUAGAAAAAUAAAUUUUUGGUUUUGUCUUUGUUGACUCAGAUUAAAAACAGUGAAAAUGUGUUUUGGGGUUGGGUUGUGAGUAAAUGGCCUCUUCUGGUGGGAAGGGCAGUGGAGAACAGGCCAUGAGGGACUUUGGUCUUGAGAGACCAAUGCAGGGAGUUCAGCUGGAGUCUCUUAUUCAAGGGGCUGACUGGUGAGUGGCAGGGCCAUAUUGCAGGCUGCGGGGCUGAGAUUGGCUGAAACAGCUCAAAAGUGCUGCUUGACAUGAGUAGGAGGAACCCUGGGAAGUCAAAUGGGAUAUGUGGGUGCUCUGUGUGUGUGUGUGUGUGUGUGUGUGUGUGUAGGGGUGUUAUUUAAAGGAGUUGCAAUUGGAACAGAGACGCAGAGGGAGUCUGGAUCAGCUCUGGCCCAGACUGGCAGAGGUCUUUUACACACUUUCAGCAAACAUUUACGGCAUGAAGGCCGAGCCCAUCUAAGGAAUCCUGACCAGCCGGACACAUGUAUCCAAAUUCAGCCAAGGGUAUUAGUGGAAAGUCUCUCUCUGGGUUUGUGCAAGGAAAGCUAGAACAAGAAGACCUCCCCGUCAUUGUAGCUCAGCUCCUGCCCUUGCCUUUCGAAAAUAAGAGCCAGGGCCAGGCCUGCUCAAGCCCUGCUGGCUUCAAAGGCUGGACCUGAGCAUGAGGAGGAGAAAGUCCAGGGGAAAGAGCUAUUGGACUUAUUUUGGAUAAAGCACCUGAAUGAGUCCCAGAAGUUUAGCUUUUGUCCCAAAGGAUGCUUAAGUAACAAAGUCAAGCUCCUGUGUCUGAAUUUCAUAGACACAGCUGCAAAUCUGAGGAAAAUCACAAAUUGCCCACUGACUCCUCAGGGAUGCUUGCCAGGCUGCAAGCCAUUCCUACUCAGUGAUAUGAUUUGGCUGUGUCCCCACGCAAAUCUCACCUUGAAUUGUAACUUCCACAAUUCCCACAUGUUAUGGGAGGAAUCUGGUGGGGGGUCAUUGAAUCAUGGGAGCAGGUCUAUCCUAUGCUGUUCUUGUGAUAGUGAAUAAGUCUCAUGAGAUCUGAUGGUUUUAAAAAUGGGAGUUUCCCUGUACACGCUCUCUUUGCCUGCUGCCAUCCAUGUAAGAUGUGACUUGCUCCUCCUUGCCUUCCACCAUGACUGUGAGGCCUCCCCAGCCACAUGGAACUGUAAGUCCGUUAAACCCUUUUUCCUGUAUUAAUUACCUAGUCUCGGGUAUGUCUUUAUCAGCAGCAUGAAAAUGGAUUAAUACACUCAGGGAAACGGUGUUGGAUUUGGAGAAGAGACCAGUACUAAAAAAAUUAUUCAACCUCCAGCAAGCAUUCACUGAGCACCUAUUCUAUGCUAGGCAUGAGUGUGUUCCUGUCUGAGUCCUGGGCACCUUCAGCCUUCAGCAGAGCAGUCCUUUCCUCAGGAGAAGCUGGGCCUGCCUGUUCCAUCAGGAAGCAAGACCCCUGCUGUGGUGUCCUUGACCUCUCUCUGGGGGUACCCAUUACCCUGCAAUUGUGUCACUGAUUGUGGCAUUAUUUACCUGAUGAUGAAAAGAGGUAAGGCACACUGCCAGUCGAGUUCACUGUCACAGGUGGGGCCCCUGCACAGCUCUUGGCACAUGGCUGACAGCUAGAACAUACUUGCUGAAUGGCAGUCCCAGAGCACCACUGCAAAUGUUAAUAUGUCUCUUAAUGAUGACAGUACUACUAAUACAAAAUGUAUGUGUCAAGUAUUUACUCUGUGUUAGUCUCGAUGUUUUUUUUUUUUUUUUUUUGAGACAGAGUCUUGCUCUGUCACCCUGGCUGGAGUGUGAUGGUGUGAUCUCAGCUCAUUGAAACCUCUGCCCCACCAGGGGUUCAAGCAAUUCUCCUGCCUCAGCCUCCCAAGUAGCUGGAAUUAUAGGCAUGUGACACUAUGCCUGGCUAAUUUUUGUAAUUUUAGUAGAGAUGGGUUUUUGCCAUGUUGGCCAAGCUGGUCUCAAACUUCUUACCUCAGGUGAUCCUUCUGUCUCAGCCUCCCAAAGUGCUGGGAUUACAGGAAUGAGCCACCAUGUCUCGCCCAGUCUCAAGUAAUUUAUCUCAGGCUGUUUCUCAGUGUGGAUGAUGGUUCUGCAUGAGCCUAUUUUAAAACCGAGUAAACCAUCCAAAUGUUUUUAUGUACUUUUUUGGUAUAUAUGUUAUCUUGUCACAAUAAAAAUAUUAAAAUUGCAGUCCCUGGAUAUGUGUGUGUAUUCAUGUGCUUGUGAGUCUUUCUGUGUUCAUGUGUGAGUAUAUAUACAUAUAUUCUCAGCCUUUGUCUCACAGCUGCCGCAUUUGCUCACUUUGGCUUGCUUUGAGCCAUGACUAGGGCCAUCUCAGACUUGCAAAUCCAGAUCAAGAAGCAAGAAUCCAGGAAUACCUGAAUAACACAGGGAGAGUUGAAGCACUUGCAGCUCACUGCUAUUAUCUUGUUAAGCACUGGAAAAAUAAAUUGGCUGAUGUCUUUCCUGGCGGUACUUGGAUUUCAAGAAGUCAGAUCCUUUCUGUCUUUGCUUCCGGUAACAAGGCACCCUUUGCAUGCUCACACUUUUGUGAAAGUAUUUAUGAUGCAUAGGACAGGUCCUCAGGCUCCCUUUGCUGCGGCUUUUGCCUUAGGUAAGCAUUUAAAGAUAUUAAGGGAGCAUUCCGCUUUCAUGAGCAUGUUUUAUUCUUUAUUCCUGGGAGUUGUUCUAAUCACAUUAAUUCGGAAGGACCCACUUGAAAUUGCACCACCUCUCAUGUCCCUCUCUCUGAGGUCCCCUCCAGCUACAUGGUCCAGGACUCCCCACCAUCUCACCCACUUCUGAUGUCCUUCCCUUGUCUUGACCCCUGUCCUGCCCCUUUGCCCAGCAGGUGGGCCCCUCCCACUUGGUAGCCUUGUCCUUAUAAUCCCUCUGCCCCCUUCCUCUUACUGUGCACUGGGAAGGGUCUGAGAUUGGGAUGUAGAAGCUGAGUACUGGGCUUCUUAGCUGUGUGACUUUGUGCAAAUAAUCUUAAAGACCACAACUUCUUCGUCUCUGCAAAGAUGAUAGUUCCCAUUCCCAUUUUAUAUAGUGUGAGAAUCAAAGGGAAAUAUUCAUGAUAUCACUUUGAAAACAAUCAUUAUAUAUGUCCAGAGAAAUAAUCCUGCCAUUCUAACGCUAGGUUAAGUCUACUGUUUAUAUCCUUGGCUCCUGGCCCUGAAAUGAGGCUUGCUGUCUUAGUGUUAGGGGACAAAUCCUGUAUACAUAUGGGCCAUGUCAGGUGUAGAGAUGACCCAGGAAGUCCUAGGCAGAGCAUGCUCUGUUUCAGAAAUGCCUGCAGCAUUUCUGCAGCAGCGAAAUAGAGAGGCUUGAAUCACUCCUGCUCUCAGAAGUGUUUUGGAAGGAGGAUUCUUUUAUUCAACAGCUCUUUGUUGAGCACUUACUCAAUACCAGACUUUGGGUUAAGACAGACCUAGGUUAGAAUUCUAGAUCUGCCCAAAAGUACACAGUAAGACUGGUUAAGCCUGGAACCCAGGAUGAUGGGGAGUGCCCCAUCCAGGAUAAUAUGAAGAAAGUGAGGAUGCCUUCUUUUGUCCCUCCUUUAUUCUCUCUUCAUGAGUGGCAGAUGGGUAAUCACAUCUUCAUAUCACAGGACAUGCCCCUUGGAUGCAUUCCCCAAAACUGGGAAAAGUUUAAUUUCCCCAAAUCUUAAACUUCUUGGCUUAAAAAUAAACUGGGAACAAAUUACAAGAGUCAGCUUCGAAACCCAGUACCUCUAUGCAGGAGGUCCUCAGAUUAGCCUCUUAAGUCUUUUAUAAUGGAGAGUAGAAUAGGGAUGACAGGGCUAAGCCUGUUGGGUGGGGCAAAUGGCAUCCCCUCCCUCCAAAAGAAAAUAUUAAAAUUCUUACCAGUCAGACUUCUCUCUCUGUGCAAACUGGUUGUAGAAAUAAUAAAAAUCACCGUAUUCCCUGCCCCUCCAUGAACAACAUCUUAUUUCUCUUCUUGAAUUUUCCUUUCUCAGAACUACCUUUGUAGACUCUAAAUUUUGUAAAAACUGCUUAUCACCUACCUUGUACACUCACGAUUAAGUUAUAACUUUAGUUAAAACUUAUCGACUUCGCUUGUGAGGUUGCCUUUGGCAAAGCUCAAAAGACAUGAAUUUUGGCCAUUUGGCCAGGCUAAAGUCAGGUAAUAAGAGACUAAAAGGAUUUUAAGAGCACUAUGAUCAAAAGUCAGCUUAAUUAAAAGCAGAUAUCCAGGCUAUACCUAUAUGGAGCUGAAAUGUUCAUGAAGGUCAAACAGACCAGGGCUUACCUGAAUGGAUUAAACUAAUAGAAUAGUGAAGUAAUCUUUUUUGACUUUUUGCUUAAAACACUGCUAAUCUUUGUUUUAUUUUUCAGAGUCAAGGAAACUCGAGCUAUUUACAGCUUUUAACAAUUGAAUCAGAGUACUCCUGUGAACAAAAUUUGGAGCAUAUUUGUUUUGUGAUACUUGGUUUUCUAGAAUUUGGAAACUUUGUGAAUAUUCUUAUGGCAAUAUAGUUAAUUGCAUAAGAGCAAUAAGAAUGUUUUCUUUUGCAAUAGAAUGCAAUUGGAGAAACUGGUUGUUUUACCAAGGCUUUGACUGAAAUGGUAUGCUUUAUUUUAAGAAAUCAAGCUUGACUUACAGAGCCAAUAAAAGCCCCUUGGCCUCAUACCCUGUUUCCACAGUCCCUAUACAGAGUUCUUAACCUGUGGUGAGUAAAGACUGUCACUUUCUAAGGCCCAGGAGCCCCAAGUUAUCUUGGGACCUUAAGAGAAGAGGAAUUUACCGAAUUCAUAGGUAGUUGAGGGUACAAAACCAUGGCUGGGCUGGGCUUUAAAAAUGUCUUAUCUAAGAUUCCUUAUGGAACAGAGUUUCAUCAAAGCCAACUUUAAAAGCCUAUGUGAAGAAUAAUUAUUCUUGCUGUACUUUAUGCAAUAAUCAGGCCAAGUAUAAUAAGACUAAAGUUAAUUGUGCCAAAAAAAAAAAUCAGUCCUAUCAUGAUUUGUUGACAAAAAUAAGCACUGAAGAGACAAAUUAUAUUUUAAAAGUUAUGACAUACCUGUCAUUAAAUUCAAGUCUUAUCAGUUGUUUUUAAGUUUUUGUCUGCAUUUUAGAUCAGCCCUGCUUAUUCCUGUAAACCAACAGUGAUCUCUGGCUGUAGCUCUGAAGAAACAAAAAUGACAGGUAAUGUAAAAGUCUGGAUCAAUAUUCUAAUUCUGUGCAAUUAACUAUCCUUCAAAUCCUGCCAGGUGAUGGGGGUAAACCUGGAGGUUUCUUUUUCGGGAAUAUGAGACCAAGGGAGCUAACGAAAGCCAAACCCCAUGCACCCAGGUCAUAAUUGUAGCCACUAGUUACCUAGGUGUGUCAGAGCAGCCUCAGGAAUUUUGGAGCUGUCCUCACCCCCUUGUUUUGCUUUCGUCCAUGUCUUCUAAUCUAAUAACCCGAUCUGUCUCCUCUUGUCUUCAGCCCAUUAAGUUCCAGAUGAUCCUCAGUGAGGGAUACCAUCCUCUCAAUAUUCAAUAGUCACCCUUCUACAGGGACCCUCUAGACUGCCUGUCAAUGGGAUACGACAGAGGCGAAGUCCUGUCCCUGUCACUCUUGACCUGGCUAGAUACCACUUUCACUGACUCAUGGAGACAACUCAGUCCUGCUGGCAAGAGACCAAGACCCACAGAACCACCACUGCCCCUCUGUCAGCAGGAAGCAGUUACAGAAGACAGACUCUGUCCAUUUUACCCCUAAAUUUGGGGUUGUGAACGCUUGAGGGGGCAAAUGUUACAGUUGGUGGCUAGUUAGGUACAGCAGGGCAGCAGAGGGCUCCUCCCAACACACCAGGGGUGCUGGGAGACCCUCAGGGCACGUCAGGUGGUUGUUAACUGUUUCUCUAAAGUAAUAAAGUCACAGCUGGUGCUAGGGAAAGACAGGCUCCUAAUAGAAAACACCUGAAACGAAUCAGCAGCUUCCCAAUAAGAUCUCGCCAGUCCGGAGAAGCAAGGCAAGAUCCCGGAAGCAGGCCAAUGGAUGAAACCCCAAGUCAAGAGGUAAGCUGCACACUUGGUUUCUCAAGUUGCCUUGGACCUCUUCAGAGUUGUACUUUGUUUCUUUCCUUAUUGUUCUAACGAUUUUUAGUGAACUUUCACACCUGCUCUGAAAAGAAAACUUGCUAGAUCUGCCGCUUGAUAGCUUCAGAAAGGCCCUUUUUGUUUUGUUUUGUUUUCUCGUUGGUGUUUGUUUUCUCUUGAUCAGGAUUCCCAGGAAAGUGUUCUCAUUCUUUUAACGUCUUCAGUGUUACCUCUGCGUUUUACAAAUUUGAGCCAAUUUCCACUAGCUGAAAACAGAAUGCAUAGGAUACAGACUCCUUCAUUUGCCUCUUCUUUAGUGUUUCUUCAAGUCUUUGAAAGACAUACAACUUCCUUGAAGUGGAUGAGUGUUCUUCUGCCAUGUUUCCUCUCCACCCAGCGUGUGCUACAUAUUCCUUCCCGACCUCCAUGUCCUCCAGGCCUUCUGACCUGUCCUUCCCUGCCUGCAGCCCACAGUGACUUUCCCUUCUCUUCCCCCCCACUCCCUCCCCUUGGGCUGAAAGCAGGCAAAAGUCACCUCCAGACUAAGAACCAACCUUGAGCAGCAAUCUUCCUGUGUUCUGCUUUUCCUUUGAAGUAACAAUGCUCCUGUCAACAAGACCUCUGCCUCCUCACUCCUCAUUCACUCAGCAGCUUAAAUGUACUGUUCUACUAAAAGGUCUCUGGAACCUCCAAAAAUAACAAUAAGUGAUUCAGUCUUACUCCUGCUUCUGAGUGACAUCAUUGCACAUGUGGUCAGUGAUGUCACUCCUUUGCUGAAAUCCUCUCCUUUCUAGGAGUCCAUGGCCCUGCAGUGUCCAGUCUCUCCAAGCCCCGCUUCCCUGACCCAUUUUUCUGUCCCUACUUCCCCAGUGUGGCUCCUGUCCCUUUUCCCUUGCCCCUUCUCUACGUUGACGAUCAUAACAACUUUAACUCCUAGCAUAGUGGUUCUAACUCUUGGCUGCCCAACCUUUGUCUCCUUGAGGAGCUUUAAAAAAAAAAUCCUGAUAUCCAGGUCCCAUCCCAACCAAUUAUAUCAGAGUGUCUAGGAAUGGGUCCUGGUGGGGCUUUAGGGAGUUGAUUCUUAAAUCUUUAGACUUAGCUUCUCACCUGAACCUAAUUUUCUGAAAUGCCUCCAUUUUUAGUCUGAUUAUUGGCCAGAUGAAUAUUUCCAUCAGGGCAACCUAAGAGCCUCCUGAUGUCCCUUGUAGAUCUGAUCCUCUUCCUAUUUUCUCCUUUCACUCAGGCUUGAAGGCUGUGAUUGUUCCUAACUCUUGGGAUCCACUAAGUGUGAGGUCUGCUUGUUUCCUUUCCCUGAAAGCCGGCAAAACUCUCCCCUCCGUUUCAGGCACGCAAGUCUUAAGUCUCACCUGGACUGACAGGAAACACCUUGCCAGAGUUUCUCCAAGUGCUCCUCCUCCUAGACAAGGCGCCAGGACUGACUUUAGAGCCAGGGGAUGAUUUUUUUCUCUCUACUCCAAAUCUUUCCUGACUCUCCACUGUUCACCAAAGGCUUUGUGGUGUGCUUUAAUCCCCGCCCUCCACCCACUCUCUCUCCUAUAC